UAGACUAGUAUUUGUAAUCUAAUUUAUGACAUUUGUUUCUCAGUGAUAUUUCUUGUGUUUAGAAAUAUGUAUUACUGUGCAACAGCUUGUAACAUGAAAUAGAAAAGAAAGAGUAUGCUAUAUAGUAAUUAGUACUGGAAAGGUAAUUUAGAACAAAUUUGCUUUCCUUCCCAGGCAUGCAAUUCCAGAAUUAUUUAAGUGUGAUUGUGCCAGACUGAUAUCAAUAUAAGUGACAGCUGAAUUUGGUCCCCUAAAAGCAAUGUAUGUGUCAUGCAUUCCAUUUUACCUCUGGGGAAAGGUCUUGAAUUGUUUUUGUUCCAGUCCUUGUGGUUUUAGGGGAAGCACUGUAAGAUGCUCUCUUUUUUUCAGUACAGUGACAUAUUAGAUUAGCUGGGUUUUUUCCAAAGAAGUUUAUACUGCUGAUGUAUUUAUUUUUAUAUUGAUGACAGGGAUUUAUUUUUCCUAUAAAGCUUACCAGUUGUGUAGACACACAAGAAGUGCCAUCUAAUCUUUCAGUAGUUCCAGUUAUUUUCUAAAGCAUACUACACCUUCCAGCAAAAAUUUCUUUCACUGUCUGUCAUUAAAUCAGUAUUCUGAAUGACAAUAGACUGCACAACACAAACUGGAGUGAGCAAUGAAAAGACACAUCCAAUAUCUAGGCUAUGCCAAAGUGACCUUCUCUACUAAACAUAUAUGCACAACUGCUGUCUCCUUUCUUGCCUGAAAGACUUUCAUUUCCUAUCACCAUAAACAUUCCAGUUCCUUGGCUGAGUCUAUAAAGAAAUAAUGAUUGAUACUCUUCUUCCUCCCUGUUAAAAUUCCUGCAGUAAUUAGGAAGAAGGAAUCAGAAAGGAGGAAAAUGCAGUGGAAGAAUAUGAGAUUUAUUUGGGCCUGUGUGAAUCCAGCACACAUCCACUGGACAAGCAGAAACCCAAAUACUGAUUUUUUUUUUUGGAUAUAGAAGCAGCAGAAAAAAGGCUGCAAGAAAGAACAUAUUUACUUCCACAUCCUGAUACUGUUAAGUUAGAAACUCUCUAUUGGGCAU
Molecule: long non-coding RNA, 1045 nt
Organism: Zonotrichia leucophrys gambelii
Lineage: Eukaryota; Metazoa; Chordata; Aves; Passeriformes; Passerellidae
Exons: 4
Source: RefSeq, a predicted model, not a curated record